This is a long non-coding RNA of Xiphophorus couchianus (Monterrey platyfish), 693 nucleotides long. RefSeq lists it as uncharacterized. The record is from RefSeq and is a predicted model, not a curated record. The transcript has 2 exons. Lineage: Eukaryota; Metazoa; Chordata; Actinopteri; Cyprinodontiformes; Poeciliidae.
CUCUUCCAGAGUUACAAAUGGCCUUUUGGCUCCAUCAGUUUGGUGGACGGACGUAAUUUGUGUGCAGUUGUUACCUGACGUCUGAAAGCAGCUGGUUGCUCUGGAUUUUGUUUAGUGGAAGCUGAGAAAAAAGGGGGUGGCAUACAGAUAACAAGCACGUAGAAGGGUCGUAACAUGAGAAAAUGUGUUGAGGUCCUAGAGGCAUGAGAUAGACUUUCAGACUGCAACCGAUUUUUUUCCUAUCCUUCCAGGAAGGAAAUACUAGAAACACAUUCACGUCCCGGUCCUGCCUUCAGACGUCGGAUCGGUUUUACUUCACCUGACACGUGUGACGCCAAAGAGGCAUCGAGCUGCAGAUAAAAUCUACCUUUUCUUGGCACUAAAUGAGAACAUUACUUGUCACUUCCGUGGAGCUGCAUCCUUCGAGAUGAGCUGCGCGAUGGAGGAGAUGUUUCCCACCCACUCGGCAGUGUCGGAGGAUGAGAAGUCAUGCGGGCCGACAGAGAGAGGUGGAGGGCAGAGGGACGCGGCGCUCCGCUGACAGCUGCAGCUCCUGCGCCUCGACGAAGAAGUCCUGACGCUUCAGCACAUCAUUCAUUUGCUGCUAAUGAGCUGCCGUCAAAUUAGUGAUUACUGUCAGAAUUUAAUGAGUCUUAAUGAGUUAAUAGUCUUAGGAAAAAAAGUAUGUUAACA